This 253-nucleotide ribosomal RNA is filed under the name uncultured bacterium. RNAcentral describes it as "partial 16S ribosomal RNA". It matches the Rfam family "Bacterial small subunit ribosomal RNA", at positions 524 to 776 of the family's 1533-position model. The record is from RNAcentral.
UACGUAGGGGGCAAGCGUUGUCCGGAUUUACUGGGCGUAAAGAGCGUGUAGGCGGCCAAACAGGUCCGUUGUGAAAACUGGAGGCUCAACCUCCAGACGUCGACGGAAACCGUAUGGCUAGAGUCCGGAAGAGGCGAGUGGAAUUCCUGGUGUAGCGGUGGAAUGCGCAGAUAUCAGGAGGAACACCAAUAGCGAAGGCAGCUCGCUGGGACGUUACUGACACUGAGGCGCGAAAGCGUGGGGAGCGAACAGG